UAACGCUGGCAGUGUGUAUAAUACAUGCAAGUCGACUGCAUUUAGAUGCAGGGCAGACGGGUGAGUAACACGUUGGUUAUCUGCCCCGAACUCAGGGAUAACAUCGAGAAAUCGGUGAUAAUACCGGAUAGUCCCGCAAGGGUAAAGAUUUUUCGGUUCGGGAGGAGCCUGCGUAGUAUCAGCUUGUUGGUGAGGUAAUGGCUCACCAAGGCUAUGACGCUUAGCUGGUCUGAGAGGAUGAUCAGUCACAAUGGAACUGAGACACGGUCCAUACUCCUACGGGAGGCAGCAGUAAAGAAUCUUCCGCAAUGGACGAAAGUCUGACGGAGCAACACUGCGUGGUGGAUGAAGGCCCUCGGGUCGUAAACACCUUUUCUGGGGGAAGAAGUUCUGACGGUACCCCAGGAAUAAGCAUCGGCUAAUUACGUGCCAGCAGCCGCGGUAAUACGUAAGUCGCAAGCGUUAUCCGGAAUUAUUGGGCGUAAAGCGUCCGUAGGCGGUUUUAUAAGUCUGUAGUUAAAUCCCA
RNAcentral lists this ribosomal RNA (526 nucleotides) under uncultured Microgenomates group bacterium. RNAcentral describes it as "bacterial SSU rRNA". It matches the Rfam family "Bacterial small subunit ribosomal RNA", at positions 31 to 604 of the family's 1533-position model. The record is from RNAcentral.